AUGGGAUGGAGCUGUAUCAUUCUCUUCCUUUUGUCAGUAAUUACAGGUGUCCUCUCUCAGGAACAGCUACAUCAGUCUGGGCCUGAACUGGGGAGACCUGGAACCUCAGUGAAGCUGUCUUACAAGGCUUCAGGAUACACCUUCACUAGCUACUAUAUUAACUGGGUAAAACAGAGGCCUGGACAGGGUCUGGAGUGGAUUGGAAGGAUUAAUCCUAAUACUGGUGGUACUAGCUACAAUGAGAAGUUCCAGGACAAGGCCACACUGACUGUAGACACAUCCUCUAGCACAGCCUACAUGGAGCUCAGCAGUCUGAUAUCUGAGGACUCUACAGUCUAUUACUGUGCAAGACACUGUUGCAACCACAUCCUGAGUGUGUCAGAAACCCUGGAGGAACAGGAAGCUGUGCUGAGACUGAAAUGA
This is a non-coding RNA of Alexandromys fortis (reed vole), 423 nucleotides long. The record is from the annotation of a RefSeq genome assembly. NCBI's taxonomy places the organism in Eukaryota, Metazoa, Chordata, Mammalia, Rodentia, Cricetidae.